RNAcentral lists this small RNA (36 nucleotides) under Bombyx mori (domestic silkworm). Its description in RNAcentral is "ovarian small RNA-17518". Lineage: Eukaryota; Metazoa; Arthropoda; Insecta; Lepidoptera; Bombycidae. The record is from RNAcentral.
GGGGAAUUAGCUCAGCUGGCUAGAGCGCCUGCCUUG